This 223-nucleotide ribosomal RNA is filed under the name Escherichia coli. RNAcentral describes it as "partial 23S ribosomal RNA". It matches the Rfam family "Bacterial large subunit ribosomal RNA", at positions 1104 to 1325 of the family's 2925-position model. The record is from RNAcentral. Lineage: Bacteria; Pseudomonadati; Pseudomonadota; Gammaproteobacteria; Enterobacterales; Enterobacteriaceae.
GCUUAGAAGCAGCCAUCAUUUAAAGAAAGCGUAAUAGCUCACUGGUCGAGUCGGCCUGCGCGGAAGAUGUAACGGGGCUAAACCAUGCACCGAAGCUGCGGCAGCGACGCUUAUGCGUUGUUGGGUAGGGGAGCGUUCUGUAAGCCUGUGAAGGUGUGCUGUGAGGCAUGCUGGAGGUAUCAGAAGUGCGAAUGCUGACAUAAGUAACGAUAAAGCGGGUGAA